This is a long non-coding RNA of Vicia villosa (hairy vetch), 2172 nucleotides long. RefSeq lists it as uncharacterized. The transcript is spliced from 2 exons. The record is from RefSeq and is a predicted model, not a curated record. NCBI's taxonomy places the organism in Eukaryota, Viridiplantae, Streptophyta, Magnoliopsida, Fabales, Fabaceae.
GAAGAAACACGUGUCCCACUAACUCUUUGAGAUGUAGUCUUUUCAACUUCCAAAGACUCCCUAUAAAUAAUUCAUGUUCUCCAUUCUUUCAUUUUCGUUUAUGUAACUUUGAAAUCCUUAGAAAUUUUCAGAGCAAACCCAUUUCACUCUUCCACAAACUUCAACAAAACCCAUGUUCUCCAACAAUGUCACAAACUAAAAAGCAACAAAAAUAUAAGAACAUGAAGGAAGCAGGAACUUCAAAAGAUUCCACUCCUCAAAUUGGACUUGUUAGUAAGAUCGUGACUUCUGGGAAUCAAGAGUUCAUAUCAACUCCAAUGUUUACUGCAGAACAAAAAGCCAUAUAUGCUUCUUAGGUACUCAUUUCUUCUUUCUUUUAUGGUAAAACCCUAAGUUUAAGGGGCCUUUAAUUCAUGCAGGGAAUUUAGAAAAAAAAAUCAUAGAUUUUCCCAGUUUAUCAUGAAACGAAACCCAUACCUAACAAAAUCAGACCUCCUAAAUAUAAGGGCGAGGAUUCUGCGAGAAAACCAACUAAAACCCUUAAGGAGAAAACUUCUGAAGAGACUUCUUCAGUCUUUAAAACUGAAAGAGAAGUCUUCUAGUUAGAUUAUAUAACUGCUAAUUUUAGGACUUUUUUAUCAUUCCCCACAUUAGACAAACCUUACAUAGCUUGGUUUACCAAAGUCAAAAAGAAGAAAUCACAAAUUUGGAAAGAUUUAGGUAUUUUUGACUUAAUUCAAAUGUCAAAACUAGGCUUUAGCUAUUGCCAACCCCUUAUUGUUAGUAUCCUUGUAUUUAUGGGACAGUACCUACAAAAAUUUUAAUCUCCUUUGUGGGAUGAUAAUUCCUACCCUUUUUGACAUUGUUGCAAUCACUGGACUUCCUCCUACUAGAGGAGCAUUCAACCCUUAUUUGCAAUCAGAUAAUAUUAUUAUUUUCAAGUCAAGAAUGCCACCUUUACUGCAUACAUGAAUUUCUACCAUGUCGGAGGAGACAACAUUUCUGAUGUCAAACAUAUAACUUUAUUUGCUUUAUGGUUGUCCGAGUACAUUUUCUGCCGUAAAUCCCUGCAAGUAACAAGGAGAUUUUUGACUUUUGCGAACCAGCUACACUCUGGUCGAAAAAUCUGUCUAAGUGAACGGCUCUUAGCUUGGCUUUAUGAAAGCUUAAUGUCUGCUACUUCUAAACUAAAAAGAUAUGAAGAUGGCACUAAUCUGUUUCUUGCUGGCCCAUAUUGGCUCCUUCAGUUAUGGCUGAAUGUAGGGAAAUUUAGAGGGCGCAAAUAGUUAAAAUGACACUUUAUUUACAAAAUUUCCACCAUAUUUCUUAUUUACAUCUGUUUUUAGUAUAAGGCAUGUAAAUUUUAAAACUAUAUUCUUAUUUAAAUUAAAAUAUUAUGAAAAUGGAUGUUAAAAUACAAACACGGUAGAUCGUUUAAGUGAGAGAGAAUUUUUCUAUAAAUUUUAUCAAACAUCACCUUACACUAAUUCGUAAAUAUGUUUAUUAAAAAUAUUAUUCUUAUUUUGUGUGUUACCCAUUCAUAUUAUGAGAGGUUGAAAAUUAGUUAGUUAUAAUAUCUGACAUGUUUAUUUAGUGUGCUAAAGGGACAAACACUGUACAGUGGUUUAAGGAGAGGUCAGGCUUUAUAAAUUGUAAAUCGAUAGAAUAAUUUGUUACAUCCACAAAGCAAAAAAUAUGGCUUUAGUGUCCAAGUUUGUUUCCAUUAUGAUUAAUAUAUUUAUUUUCUUAUUUCUCCUUGCACCAAACAUUGAAGUGCUUGCAGGAUUGAAAGAUGCUGAUUGUUAUUUUCUUUUUUGUAAAAAAUCAUAUAAAGCAAUUGCUAUUGGUAAUCGAUGUAAAUGUGUUAGAAUCAUAGAAUAAGUUUGUGAAUGAUUUGGCAUUUAGUUUCAUACUUGAGAUUUAGCCCAAAUGUUCUCAAAUUUUCAUAAGUUGUCGUUUAAUAUUUGUGUUGUCAUCAAAUAAUUUGAAUUUUUCAUUUUUCUUGUUUCAUAUAAUAAAGUGAACUAAGGUAGAAAAUAAUAUCAAUUAGGUUGUAUAAAAAAAUAAUACCUUAAUUAAGCAUGUCAUUUUAUAUUGAUGUCAUAAUAGUGUUAAAGUGGUGAUCUUUCUCAUCAUUUUGUAUAUAAUUAUCUUACAUUAUUAUUAUAUUUA